Molecule: ribosomal RNA, 497 nt
Filed under: uncultured bacterium
Lineage: Bacteria
Description: partial 16S ribosomal RNA
Rfam family: Bacterial small subunit ribosomal RNA
Source: RNAcentral
GAUGAACGCUGGCGGCGUGCCUAAUACAUGCAAGUCGAGCGAACAGACGAGGAGCUUGCUCCUCUGACGUUAGCGGCGGACGGGUGAGUAACACGUGGAUAACCUACCUAUAAGACUGGGAUCACUUCGGGAAACCGGCGCUAAUACCGUAUAAUAUAUUGAACCGCAUGGUUCAAUAGUGAAAGACGGUUUUGCUGUCACUUAUCGAUGGAUCCGCGCUGCAUUAGCUAGUUGGUAAGUUAACGGCUUACCAAGGCAACGAUGCGUAGCCGACCUGAGAGGGUGAUCGGCCACACUGGAACUGAGACACGGUCCAGACUCCUAAGGGAGGCAGCAGUAGGGAAUCUUCCGCAAUGGGCGAAAGCUUGACGGAGCAACGCCGCGUGAGUGAUGAAGGUCUUCGGAUCGUAAAACUCUGUUAUUAGGGAAGAACAAAUGUGUAAGUAACUAUGCACGUCUUGACGGUACCUAAUCAGAAAGCCACGGCUAACUACGUG